Molecule: long non-coding RNA, 1744 nt
Organism: Nothobranchius furzeri (turquoise killifish)
Lineage: Eukaryota; Metazoa; Chordata; Actinopteri; Cyprinodontiformes; Nothobranchiidae
Source: RefSeq, a predicted model, not a curated record
GAGGGCGCUGCUGGUCUCCAUCAGAUCGGGGGUGGGGGUCAGACAAAACACAAACUGAAGUACUUUUACUUUCGAGAAAAACUAGGAGUAGAAAGUAAAAUGUAGGCCCCAAGAAAAUUACUUAAGUACAGAUACAUAUAGAAGAAUACACUAAAGUAACUAUAUAGCGCCUUGGGCACCAAGUAGAGGGUUGUGGGAGGCGCUUUAUAAAUGAAGCCUUGAUUGAUGUAAUUUACUAAUACUAAUAUGUUAGUGGAGUUGUCGUGCCGAGACCAACAGUCAGCACGUUAAUCCUGAAUAAACAUGCUAUGACCUAUUUUUGUUUUGGGACGUAAAACUGAACAAAAACCACAACAUGGUUGCCAUUUUCCCCCUGCAGCCACUCAGACCACCAAGUUCAUCCCUGAUCUAUAACCUGUUGUGUAACCAUCACACGCCGUCAGGGUCGGUGGUUCUGUUAUGAAAUAAAAACCAGAUUGUCUUUGGAAAAUAAAAAUCAAAGAAUCGUUCCAUUCAGCUAGAAAUGCCAACACGAGGAAUCAAUUACAGAAAAUCAGAUCCACACUUGGAAAGACUGUUAGAUACUUUUGUCUUCUAUAUUUCACUAUUCUUAAAAAUUAACUUGUUUCCUAAUGAAAACUCCCCUUUAAGUCUGAUUUUAUCAGUUUUUUCCAUAUGAAAAAGUCAGAGGCAGCGUUAUGUAACGUUCACACGUUCCCACGAGCGUAGAGCCGGACUGGGAGGCGGUCAUAUCGACAACAUCCUAACUAUCACGCUCAAACGCCGCCACUUUCUUCUGUGUGAAACAGAGAAGCCUCGGAGGAGGAGGAGGAGGAGGUGGUGGAAAACACUGAAGCAAGAGUCACUCCCAAACAGGACAGACAUAAAGAAACCAGCUUCAGAGGGAGGAAGACAAACGCAGUGUUUGUUCUGCUCCACAAUCAUCAGUCUAGAAAACUCAUCUUUAAUCUCAACCUGUGUGAUAAUCUGCAUCCCGUAAUCUCUUCUGGAUGACAAACUCAACAGGAUUUCCUAAUCUGGACUAGACUUGGUGAAAUCUCUCACAGAAUGGAUGCCAGAGAGGAGACGCUAAGCCUCCUGAGCAAAGUUUGGCUCAAGUUGCAGAGUCUGUCCAGCGCCCACCCGGUGGAGCUGGGAGCCUUCUUCGUCCUCCUCAUCUUCAUCCUCACUGUCCUGCUCAUGGCGGUUGUGACCUGUGUGACCUGCUGCGGCUGCUGCCGCUGCUGCUGCUGCAAGGCCAAGCAAAGGCGGCGCUGACGUUUAAGCUUGGCACAUUUUUAAAACCCAAAUCUCAAGAAUCCUACUUUUGUGGGAACAUAAAUCAAACAGGGUGUGCUCUGAAGAGGCCUGGCUGCUCAACAGCAAAGCAAACAGGCAGGUGUGUGUGCAGACAGGCUGCCAAACACACCUGCUGAAGCUGCCAGCUUUUCCAGAGGAUCGGCAUUCCUCGGAGCAUCCCUGCAGCUUACGGCGCUGCGACAGCCUGGGGAGAAGGCGGGGCCUAGCCCAACUGUCUGAUAUACACCUAGACAGGAUAUGACAUGUAAUUCAACAAACUGGAGACCUUCUAAAUGCUAUAAACACAUAGAACGUAUGUAUUUGUGAGGUAGAAUCCCCUUAGAGGGGAUGCAAAACCUGGAUGAACAAAGAAAAAGGGUGCAAGUCUGCCCUCUGCUGGACAUUUGUUGUAAAAAUGAAAAUAAAAAUGAGAUUUUACCCGAAA